Haemonchus placei is the source of this 74-nucleotide non-coding RNA. The record is from Rfam. Lineage: Eukaryota; Metazoa; Nematoda; Chromadorea; Rhabditida; Trichostrongylidae.
GGCACAAACUUGAAGUAGAGUAGGUUAGUAUAUCGGCUGACCCUACUAAUCUACUCUACUUCAAGUUUGUGCCC